Molecule: ribosomal RNA, 372 nt
Filed under: uncultured Geobacillus sp.
Lineage: Bacteria; Bacillati; Bacillota; Bacilli; Caryophanales; Anoxybacillaceae
Description: bacterial SSU rRNA
Rfam family: Bacterial small subunit ribosomal RNA
Source: RNAcentral
CGUUCCCCGUCGGGGGACGAGGGUGACAGGUGGUGCAUGGUUGUCGUCAGCUCGUGUCGUGAGAUGUUGGGUUAAGUCCCGCAACGAGCGCAACCCUCGCCUCUAGUUGCCAGCAUUCGGUUGGGCACUCUAGAGGGACUGCCGGCGACAAGUCGGAGGAAGGUGGGGAUGACGUCAAAUCAUCAUGCCCCUUAUGACCUGGGCUACACACGUGCUACAAUGGGCGGUACAAAGGGCUGCGAACCCGCGAGGGGGAGCGAAUCCCAAAAAGCCGCUCUCAGUUCGGAUUGCAGGCUGCAACUCGCCUGCAUGAAGCCGGAAUCGCUAGUAAUCGCGGAUCAGCAUGCCGCGGUGAAUACGUUCCCGGGCCUU